UUCCGGUUGAUCCUGCCGGACCUGACUGCUAUCGGAUUGAUACUAAGCCAUGCGAGUCUUUGUAGUAAUACAAGGCAGACGGCUCAGUAACACGUAGUCAACCUACCCUAUGGACGAGAAUAAUCUCGGGAAACUGAGCAUAAUUCUUGAUAGAUCAUAAUGCCUGGAAUGGUUUAUGGUUAAAAUGAUUCGUCGCCAUAGGAUGGGACUGCGGCCUAUCAGCUUGUUGGUGAGGUAAUGGCCCACCAAGGCGAUUACAGGUACGGGCUCUGAGAGGAGAAGCCCGGAGAUGGGUACUGAGACACGGACCCAGGCCCUAUGGGGCGCAGCAGGCGAGAAAACUUUGCAAUGUGCGAAAGCACGACAAGGUUAAUCCGAGUGAUUUCUGCUAAAGAAAUCUUUUGCCAGUCGUAAAACCGCCGGUGAAUAAGGGGUGGGCAAGUUCUGGUGUCAGCCGCCGCGGUAAAACCAGCACCUCAAGUGGUCAGGAUGAUUAUUGGGCCUAAAGCAUCCGUAGCCGGCUUUGUAAGUUUUCGGUUAAAUCCAUGUGCUCAACGCAUGGGCUGCCGAAAAUACUGCAUAGCUAGGGAGUGGAAGAGGUAGACGGUACUCAGUAGGUAGGGGUAAAAUCCUUUGAUCUAUUGAUGACCACCUGUGGCGAAGGCGGUCUACCAGAACACGUUCGACGGUGAGGGAUGAAAGCUGGGGGAGCAAACCGGAUUAGAUACCCGGGUAGUCCCAGCUGUAAACGAUGCAGACUCGAUGAUGCAUUGGCAUAAUAGCCAUUGCAGUGUCGCAGGGAAGCCGUUAAGUCUGCCGCCUGGGAAGUACGUACGCAAGUAUGAAACUUAAAGGAAUUGGCGGGGGAGCACCACAAGGGGUGAAGCCUGCGGUUCAAUUGGAUUCAACGCCGGA
RNAcentral lists this ribosomal RNA (915 nucleotides) under uncultured archaeon. Its description in RNAcentral is "bacterial SSU rRNA". It matches the Rfam family "Archaeal small subunit ribosomal RNA", at positions 1 to 922 of the family's 1478-position model. The record is from RNAcentral.